UACGUAGGGCGCAAGCGUUGUCCGGAAUUAUUGGGCGUAAAGAGCUCGUAGGCGGUUUGUCGCGUCGUUCGUGAAAACUCACAGCUCAACUGUGAGCUUGCGGUCGAUACGGGCAGGCUAGAGUUCGGGAGAGGAGAGUGGAAUUCCCAGUGUAGAGGUGAAAUUCGUAGAUAUUGGGAAGAACACCGGUGGCGAAGGCGGCUCUCUGGACCGAUACUGACGCUGAGGCGCGAAAGCGUGGGGAGCAAACAGG
This 253-nucleotide ribosomal RNA is filed under the name uncultured bacterium. Its description in RNAcentral is "partial 16S ribosomal RNA". It matches the Rfam family "Bacterial small subunit ribosomal RNA", at positions 524 to 776 of the family's 1533-position model. The record is from RNAcentral.